GAAAGAUGGUUUCGGCUAUCGCUUACAGAUGGGCCCGCGGUGCAUUAGCUAGUUGGUAGGGUAAUGGCCUACCAAGGCAACGAUGCAUAGCCGACCUGAGAGGGUGAUCGGCCACACUGGGACUGAGACACGGCCCAGACUCCUACGGGAGGCAGCAGUAGGGAAUCUUCCGCAAUGGACGAAAGUCUGACGGAGCAACGCCGCGUGUAUGAAGAAGGUUUUCGGAUCGUAAAGUACUGUUGUUAGAGAAGAACAAGGAUAAGAGUAACUGCUUGUCCCUUGACGGUAUCUAACCAGAAAGCCACGGCUAACUACGUGCCAGCAGCCGCGGUAAUACGUAGGUGGCAAGCGUUG
This 354-nucleotide ribosomal RNA is filed under the name Listeria monocytogenes. RNAcentral's name for it is "bacterial SSU rRNA". It matches the Rfam family "Bacterial small subunit ribosomal RNA", at positions 202 to 543 of the family's 1533-position model. Lineage: Bacteria; Bacillati; Bacillota; Bacilli; Caryophanales; Listeriaceae. The record is from RNAcentral.